GGCGAACCAGGUGUCCCACCAUCCCGGGAGACGCGGCCGUCCACCCAAGUGCCAGGCACCACAUGUGGGCUCGAGGUCGCAGUGACAUCCCCAGCCCCUCAGAAUCACCUCCAUGUGAGGGAUGUUGGUUUCGUUGACUUUGGGGCACUAGGAGGACGUUUCUUGUGAAGUUCUUGGCUCAGGAGAGAGUACAGUAGAGACUGACCGUAGUUUACCACAUAUAUCACCCACUCCGGGAAGUCCUAAAAGUUUACUUUUCCUGAUAACUGUGUCAUCGCUUCUGGAAGCACCUGGCGAACCGAUGUUAACCCUAGGGGCCCUAGGCUUGGAAGAACCCGUUAUUCUGUCCCAUUGCAAGAAUUUGUUGGGUACCACCGUGGGCUUGUUCCUGCGUAGCAUCUCUCCUGUCGUCUGUCCCCGUUCUCCAGCUCUCUUGUUUUACACUAUACCCCCGUGUCUGUGUGGUGCAUUGUCUCUGUAUGUGCUGCAAAGUUACCAAUACUGACAGUACCAUUUAGCCUGAGACGACCCUGAUGGGGAAUGUCCCUCUGUAUAUGUUUGUCUUAUUGGUUAUUGAAUAAAACACUGUUGGGCCAAUAAGGCAGGAAGACAGGUGGGACUAGAAGAUGAGAAUUCUGGGAAAGGUAAACAGGAGCCUGCCAUAGUAGAGUUGCUGCCUGAGGAGCAACAGGAUACUUAGCAUUACCAGGGAAGGCAUGGUGGAGCAGCAGAAUUCAUUACAUGGAGUACCAGGAAGCAGAGAACAAGACAAGAAGCUUCUAGACAUAAUAUGCAUCCAAGGACCCACCCGAGUAGCCAACUAUCCCCAGUCUUUCCCCACCUCUCAAAGUUCUGCAACUUUCAAAAGUUGUGUCACAAGUCAGGAACAAGCAUUUAAACUGUGAGCUGUGGAUUCAUAGCCUAGUACCAAGGCUGACUUGAACUCACCAUCAUCCUACCUUUGCCCCCAGGGUUCUAUGAUUAAG
This 986-nucleotide long non-coding RNA is filed under the name Cricetulus griseus (Chinese hamster). RNAcentral's name for it is "lncRNA (ENSCGRG00015043116.1)". The record is from RNAcentral. Lineage: Eukaryota; Metazoa; Chordata; Mammalia; Rodentia; Cricetidae.